AUGCACGCUGGCGGCGUGCCUAAUCCCUGCAAGUCGCGCGCACAGACGAGGAGCUUGCUCCUCUGACGUUAGCGGCGGACGGGUGAGUAACACGUGGAUAACCUACCUAUAAGACUGGGAUAACUUCGGGAAACCGGAGCUAAUACCGGAUAAUAUAUUGAACCGCAUGGUUCAAUAGUGAAAGACGGUUUUGCUGUCACUUAUAGAUGGAUCCGCGCCGCAUUAGCUAGUUGGUAAGGUAACGGCUUACCAAGGCGACGAUGUGUAGCCGACCUGAGAGGGUGAUCGGCCACACUGGAACUGAGACACGGUCCAGACUCCUACGGGAGGCAGCAGUAGGGAAUCUUCCGCAAUGGGCGAAAGCCUGACGGAGCAACGCCGCGUGAGUGAUGAAGGUCUUCGGAUCGUAAAACUCUGUUAUUAGGGAAGAACAAAUGUGUAAGUAACUAUGCACGUCUUGACGGUACCUAAUCAGAAAGCCACGGCUAACUACGUG
This 496-nucleotide ribosomal RNA is filed under the name uncultured bacterium. RNAcentral's name for it is "partial 16S ribosomal RNA". It matches the Rfam family "Bacterial small subunit ribosomal RNA", at positions 29 to 507 of the family's 1533-position model. The record is from RNAcentral.